AACGCAAAUUGCGCUCUCGGGAUAGGCCUGGGAGCACGCCUCUUUGAGCAUCGAUUCAACAACAACUCAGCUUCUUGCUUUGUGUUUUCACAAGGCAAAAACGCUGGAAAUUGAGAUUCUUGCGAUUGCGAGAUUCUUUAAAUGUGUCGAGCUUGCCGGAGUCGACAAACUGUCAGCUCUGCGAAUGAGAUGCAGGAUAUUUUCACACUCUGUGUGAAUUCCAUGCAGCUUCUUCGUUGCUGUUGACUAGUCUGUUUUCUCAAUAAGGCAGCGGUCCCUUGGCGGCUUCGGCUGCUAAGACUUAUUUGAACUAGAUCUCAAAUGAAGCGAGAAUACCCGCUGAACUUAA
Molecule: unclassified non-coding RNA, 349 nt
Filed under: uncultured fungus
Lineage: Eukaryota; Fungi
Also listed under: 1 other name
Description: partial contains 5.8S ribosomal RNA, internal transcribed spacer 2, and large subunit ribosomal RNA
Source: RNAcentral